GAUGCUGUUGUUGUUCCUCCAGCUGGUGUUGCUGACCCUCCAACUGAUGUGGUAAUUGCUCCAGCUAACUUGGCCCCAAGUAAUGUGCCUAUUCCUCCAACUAAUGCUGCUGCUCCUCCAAAUAAAGAGGCUAUUCCAGCUUUUUCGGCUAUUCCUCUAGCUGAUGUGGUUGUUUCCUGAGCUGAUGUGGCCAUUUCUCCAGUUGCUGUGACAGGUUCCUCAGAUGAUGAGAUUGUUUCUCCCCCAGUUGAUGAAUUCAUUUCUCCAGUUGCUGUGGCAGGUUCCUCAGAUGAUGAGACUGUUUCUCCCCCAGUUGAUGAAUUCAUUUCUCCAG
Long non-coding RNA from Scleropages formosus (Asian bonytongue), 334 nucleotides. RefSeq lists it as uncharacterized. NCBI's taxonomy places the organism in Eukaryota, Metazoa, Chordata, Actinopteri, Osteoglossiformes, Osteoglossidae. The record is from RefSeq and is a predicted model, not a curated record. The transcript is spliced from 3 exons.